Molecule: microRNA, 22 nt
Filed under: Capitella teleta
Lineage: Eukaryota; Metazoa; Annelida; Polychaeta; Capitellidae
Description: cte-miR-2000
Source: miRBase by way of RNAcentral
AAAGUCUUCACUACUUUCAGUU